GAGGCUUCCAAAAAGUUCUUGUACAAUUCUGCCUAAAUAAUUGCAAUCCAAGUCAACACUCUUCCAUCGUGUGUGGCAGUCAUCAUCCAACCUCCAUUUCAUCCCUGUAAGUGGAGUAUGAAAGUUAAGAAAUAUCAAAUUAGGCAAUCGCAUAAUGCAGAUUCAUCGCAUACUGGAGAACACAAGAUCAAAACCAAAAGUGAUGGAUCCCAAUCCUAGAUCCAUCACGUAACAAGCAAUUUUGCACAACUGCAAUAAAAAUCCUUAUCACCAUGUAAUACAAAUCCAUGGACAAGUAGGAAAAAGCAAUCCCAAUCCUUAUCUCCUUGUAAAACAACUCAUGGAUUUGGCAAGCGGGGAAGGGGAGGAUUACCUUUUGGAGGAUGCACAACACAACUCGUUCGUUGUGGGAUCUGGUCCACGGAGGGUUGGUGAGGGUGGACUGCCAGAUCUGCAUCACACUUGUUGACGGCGAGCGAUCCGGGGACUCCGUGCCGCACGCAGUGGUGGGGAGUAGGAUGAUCUAGUUGGAGACCUCCAGAUCAGGAGGGUGGUCGCCGGAGGGUAUGGAAGGGCCGGUUGGAUCUUGAGAUAAUGGUGAGAGAGUGAGAGAAAGAUGCGGCGUCCGGUUCAGUGUGGAGAGAAAUGGGUAUGGAGGUGUAGGCAUG
Molecule: long non-coding RNA, 668 nt
Filed under: Hordeum vulgare
Lineage: Eukaryota; Viridiplantae; Streptophyta; Magnoliopsida; Poales; Poaceae
Description: long non-coding RNA (HVUL_LNC002502)
Source: RNAcentral